Molecule: long non-coding RNA, 913 nt
Organism: Trachemys scripta elegans
Lineage: Eukaryota; Metazoa; Chordata; Testudines; Emydidae
Exons: 6
Source: RefSeq, a predicted model, not a curated record
AACAAACCCAUAACUACAUUGGUAUUUGUUAUGAGGUUGUGAAGUUUACAAUCAAUUCAUACAUGCAGGGUAUUUCCAGACAGCUAAUACUUUGUAUAUUAUUCAAUCAGAUUUUUUGAAUCGCUCAAAAUUACUGCCAUCAUAUAGACCUGUAGAGUUGGCAGGAGACAAAUUGAAGAAAUGCAAAUUUGAAGCCAAGUUUCCUGAGGACAAAGUGAGCUGAUGGAGAGGCGGGUUGGCAAAUGGAACUGAGGUUUAUCUGGGGCUCACCUACUCACAAUGAUUCUGAUCUGGUGGGGAUUGCGAGGUUUGACAUCAUUGCUGGAGGCUCCACCUUGCCAACAUAUCUGGCAGGAAGCACUAACAAACAGGUGUCGACUAGAUUGCUGUAUUGCACAUUUAGCCAACAGAAGACUUCACAGAAGAGAUGCUACUAGAAAAACAUUCAUGCAUAAAGGAAAUAAGACACUGCUAGUUUCAAUGGGCAGAAGUUCAGAAAAGAAGAGAUCUGGCAGCUGCCACCAAUGUUAUCACUGGCUGCAAAGACACUUGAACCUUUCUGGAAACAACAAAUGUCAGUGUUCGAUCUGAACAGGAUUUUGAAGGAAGUUUCUUUCAACAUCAUCCAAUUUUCUCAGUUUCACUGAAGAAAAAAGUUGGAAAUCCUACUUAACAGGGAGUUUUGAUGUUUCUAAAGUUGUUGACAGUCUCUGAUGUGCAUGGAUCCUUUGAGUGAGUCAUAAAGCCCAAGCAGCUGUCUCUCUUGCUGGUUUGUAGGCUUGCUGGAAUGCCUAAAGAAGGCCUGGUGCGGCUGCUGCUGAUUUCUCUAAAUGGACCAAAUACAAAAUGAAUAUCCUUAGAAAACUGCAUAGCCAUUGCACUGGAUAAUCCCACAGGCAGCGUAUCAAAUCAG